GGAGACGUAGCUCAACGGAAUCAGAGCAGCUGAAUACGAAUCAGCAGGCUGCGGGUUCGAAUCCUGCCGUCUCUUCCA
RNAcentral lists this transfer RNA (78 nucleotides) under Acidobacteriota bacterium. Its description in RNAcentral is "Acidobacteria bacterium (drinking water metagenome) tRNA-Arg". It matches the Rfam family "tRNA". From Rfam's summary of the family: Transfer RNA (tRNA) molecules are approximately 80 nucleotides in length. Their secondary structure includes four short double-helical elements and three loops (D, anti-codon, and T loops). Lineage: Bacteria; Pseudomonadati; Acidobacteriota. The record is from RNAcentral.